GAGCGCCCCGCAAGGGGAGCGGCAGACGGGAGAGUAACACGUGGGAACGUGCCCUUUGGUUCGGAACAACACAGGGAAACUUGUGCUAAUACCGGAUAAGUCCGUAAGGAGAAAGAUUUAUCGCCAAAGGAUCGGCCCGCGUCUGAUUAGCUUGUUGGUGAGGUAACGGCUCACCAAGGCGACGAUCAGUAGCUGGUCUGAGAGGAUGAUCAGCCUCACUGGGACUGAGACACGGCCCAGACUCCUACGGGAGGCAGCAGUGGGGAAUAUUGGACAAUGGGCGCAAGCCUGAUCCAGCCAUGCCGCGUGGAUGAUGAAGGCCUUAGGGUUGUAAAGUCCUUUCGGCGGGGAAGAUAAUGACGGUACCCGCAGAAGAAGCCCCGGCUAACUUCGUGCCAGCAGCCGCGGUAAUACGAAGGGGGCUAGCGUUGCUCGGAAUCACUGGGCGUAAAGCGCACGUAGGCGGCUUUUUAAGUCAGAGGUGAAAUCCUGGAGCUCAACUCCAGAACUGCCUUUGAUACUGGAGAGCUUGAGUCCGGGAGAGGUGAGUGGAACUGCGAGUGUAGAGGUGAAAUUCGUAGAUAUUCGCAAGAACACCAGUGGCGAAGGCGGCUCACUGGCCCGGUACUGACGCUGAGGUGCGAAAGCGUGGGGA
Molecule: ribosomal RNA, 655 nt
Filed under: uncultured bacterium
Lineage: Bacteria
Also listed under: 1 other name
Description: bacterial SSU rRNA
Rfam family: Bacterial small subunit ribosomal RNA
Source: RNAcentral